Molecule: long non-coding RNA, 922 nt
Organism: Clupea harengus (Atlantic herring)
Lineage: Eukaryota; Metazoa; Chordata; Actinopteri; Clupeiformes; Clupeidae
Source: Ensembl
CCAUUCCAUUUGUCUCUCGUGUCGGAAGGGGAAUUCCAGAUGUCUGAUGACUGCAAACAUGACCCCCCCACCCCCCUCCUCCUCCUCCUCCUCUUCCUCGUCCUCCAGGCUACUCGUCGGCUGAUGUCACGGGCGGCGGAGGGGAUCCUAAACGAGGAGUAAUUCCUGGCGACAAGCUCGGAGGCGCACGGCGAUCCGCGUUUGUUCUCCCUUUCUCAUCUUUCCUCCCUCGGUCUCUCUCGCUCUAUUCCUCUUUCUGGCUGCCUCCAGUGAGCCUGAUAAAGAAGGGAAAAAAAAAACUCUUCACAGCAGGACUCCACCACUCUGUUGCUAUGGCAAACACAUGCCAGUGUCCGCAAAGAAAUUGUCCGCAUACAAAUUAGCAUCCGGACGCUACUGCAGGCAGAAAUGCACUGGGCUGCCUGCCUUGACAAGCAAUCUUAGUGUUUCCUAGAAUGAGCCAUUUGUAUCUACAUAAGGAGUGGGUCCUCUUUCAUGGAACCUGCCAUGUUGCACCAUAGGUACCUGCACACGCUUGUAAAGUUACCCAACACAUCUUGAUGUACCAUCUGCACACCGAUGUCCCCAGAUCCCUGCGGUCAGCACAUGCAGGGAGUAUUCGACAUCACCUGUGACUUUACGUGACAUAAUGGAGUCGAUGAGCCAAGAUCCUUCUCAGAAUCAUCCAGGAUUUCCAUCCAAUGUCUCUGUGCUGUGAAGGGACUUCUAAUGCUCCUUAACCCAGAAGCUGUUGAUGGCGGUCGGCCCAAAUAUGAAGCUAACGGAUAACAGCAUUGAACCAACUGAUGAGGUUACGCUGAAGAAAUGCUGAAUGUCAGUCUCUGUUCACCUCAAGGCCGGGGACGAUCUGUCAGAAUGGAUGUUUGAGGUCACAUGAAACGUUUAGGUUGAAAUUGCCCCA